AUGCUACUGCAUGAGGUGCACCUUGAUGAGUUUGCUGAGGAUGACAUUCUAUGGAAGCACACAAAAUCUGGGCACUACUCCGCAGCCUCUGCUUACAGGGCGCAAUUCUUGGGCUUGGUCCUCUCCCCCAUGGACCUAUUGGCGUGGAAGGCUUGGGCCCCACCUAAAGUCAAGUUCUUUGCUUGGCUCGCGCUUCAAGAUAGGAUCUGGACUGCCGAUAGAUUAGAUAAGCGAGGUUGGCCAAACUAUGGCCCUUGCCCCUUGUGCAGGGGGGUGCAGGAAUGUGGUCCCCAUCUUUUCUUCAGAUGCCACUUCAUUAUCAGGCUUUGGAAUCUGGUUAUUCAGAAAUUCCGCAUCCACGACAUGGACACCUCUGCAUGGCACUUGUUCUGUUCACGCGUGGUGGGCGAGCACGAGCGUCGUGGGCGAUGCCGACUGAAAAGCGAAGACAUCGAUUACCAUGCCGGUGACGUGGGUCAUUUAGAAUGA
This 489-nucleotide ribosomal RNA is filed under the name Triticum aestivum (bread wheat). RNAcentral's name for it is "partial small subunit ribosomal RNA". The record is from RNAcentral. Lineage: Eukaryota; Viridiplantae; Streptophyta; Magnoliopsida; Poales; Poaceae.